Molecule: non-coding RNA, 1569 nt
Organism: Bactrocera oleae (olive fruit fly)
Lineage: Eukaryota; Metazoa; Arthropoda; Insecta; Diptera; Tephritidae
Source: RefSeq, a predicted model, not a curated record
CUUGAUUCUAGUAAUAGGCUUGUAUAUAAAAACAAUUCUAAGACAAGCGACUCGACAACUUGAUUGGAUAUUUAUGGAAAAGACAACGCAAAAUAUUUUUCUAACUUUAGGCAAAGAAAUCUAUGACUUUAUAAUCAAAUACAAAUUAAAAAAAUUUCGUCUUAAGGUUUUCAAUAGAAAGGUAGAGCUAAAGUCUGCUCUCGGCAUACGAAAAUCAAUUCUUUGAAGGCUUCGUACAAUAACAUAAGUGUUUCUAAGCAGUUGUUCUGUCGUUUGUUUGUUUUUUAAGGUUAUUUUCUCAAAAUAAAAAGGAGGAGCAGAACUUGAAGAAGCCAACACCAACAAAAUGCAAUUUCAUUACGUUUCAAUCAAGAGAUGAAAUCUAAACGGCAGCCACUCCAAAUUCCUUUUAGAAAUUCGCAAGGCAACUCUAUUUCUACUGCAAAUUACUUUUUCAUUCGAAUAAUUUGGGUACGCGAACUGUAUAGUAACCCACUAAUAGAAGUACAAAUAAAAUUGAAAAGGACUAUAUUUAAAGAGGUAUACUACUCGGUUGGAAUAUGUUUCAGGUAUAUAGCGGUAGCUGCUGCAGUUUAAGAACUUGAAGAACUGCGAAAACAUCCUAAGCCGGAUGUGAUACAUAUGAGAUUACGCAAGACCCAUAUGAUUAAUUUACCGUUAAUCCUUAUGAAUUCCAUAUUAAAUUUGCGCAUUCCCCGCUUUAUUAGGAGAAACAGGAAAGUCACAGGAAGUGAGGUGUAAUAUUUUGUUCAUGUUUCUUUGGCAAAUAUUAAUAUUAUACCCUGAACUACUUCGCCCCAAUGUUUUUGAAAUAUCGAUCUGAAAUUUUGCAUCCGUGUUUUCCAUAAAAAGCAUGUUUAAAUUGAACAAGUGACAUUUAAAAAACCAAACUAGUACCGUAUUCUUAUGAAAUAAUAUUUUAUAAUUAGAUAUUUUCAAAACGUUUAUGCAUGUAUCUCUAUUAUGUAGAUAUCUCGAAAAAAUAAAUCAUUGCCAUAAAUGAGUAGCUGUCCUAGUUUUUCAAUGGACGAUAAACAUAUUUUCCCAAGUACCACAUUUUGUGUCAAGCCCGCAGUCUCCAAGUGCUCACUUAAAACGAAAGAAAUUAUUGUCGCCACAACUUUAACAACCGCUUCCAGCUAAAACAGCAAUUAAUUUGAAGCAAAUUAUUUUACGAAACACAAAUAAAUUUGAGGUGCAAAAAAGCAAGCAAGUAUACAGAAAUUAGCAAAUUGACAGCUUUCAUUUUUUGCCAAUUCAUUGUUUAUACAACGAAGUAGCUGCCAGUUGUUGGCACGAAUUUUCACCAGUUGGCGCAUUCAACUUAGAACGUGGUAACCAAAUCACAACAAAAGCAACAACAAUACAAAGACAGUAUGGCAAGCCAGCGAAGACUCCAACAGCAGCUGUUGGAAGCUAGAAAUUUACGCGAGCGCCGGCGACCUGACUGUCCGAUAAGAAGCAUCAAAAAAGCAGCACAAAAAGUCGCUGCAGCUUUACAAAAGUACUAAGAAUGCCUAGCAAUACUGACAAAAAAAAAAAAAAAAA